RNAcentral lists this ribosomal RNA (30 nucleotides) under Parapenidiella tasmaniensis. Its description in RNAcentral is "partial 18S ribosomal RNA". Lineage: Eukaryota; Fungi; Ascomycota; Dothideomycetes; Mycosphaerellales; Teratosphaeriaceae. The record is from RNAcentral.
UUCCGUAGUGAACCUGCGGAGGGAUCAUUA